RNAcentral lists this ribosomal RNA (112 nucleotides) under Erinaceus europaeus (western European hedgehog). Lineage: Eukaryota; Metazoa; Chordata; Mammalia; Eulipotyphla; Erinaceidae. The record is from RNAcentral.
AGAUGAGAUUUUUGUUUCUAUACCAACCUGAACAUGGCUGAUCUCAGAAGAUAAGCAGGGUCAGGCCUGGUUGGUACUUGGAUGGGAGGGAGAGUUCUGCCUAUUUCAGAUU